This 1242-nucleotide ribosomal RNA is filed under the name Triticum aestivum (bread wheat). RNAcentral describes it as "partial small subunit ribosomal RNA". Lineage: Eukaryota; Viridiplantae; Streptophyta; Magnoliopsida; Poales; Poaceae. The record is from RNAcentral.
UUUCUUUUUCUGUGUAGCCUGCGGGGGAGAGUCAAGAGGAGCGGAGCAGUGGAUGGAAGGGAAUAGGGAAGUGACAGAGGGGUGACGAGGGAUAAGGUACCACCGGUGUUCGGGUGUUGAGAGAGAGAGAGAGAGGAGUUCGGCGGGGAGGAGAAGCAGGGGUGGCGGCCGCGCUCCAGAGCGUGAGAAGGGUGAGAAGAGUAGGGGAGGAGUAGCUUAGCCAGCGGUUUCACGGGCUCCUAGGCGAGUUCGAGCCAGACCAACGACCCGCGGCCUGCUUCCGACUGCGCCUCCGCGCCCUUAACGGAGGUGGUCUAGCCGCCGACACCGUUAGUACACAGCGUUGGAGGCGCGGACCACGGAAGGAAAGGUAGAGCGAGCAGCCGCCGAGGGUGGUGGGACACGCACGCUGACGCGACGCGGGACAUUACGGGUACACGCCGUCGACACGGCGCCACCUACCAGGGGACGUUCACGUUCGGCCACGGCCGAAUGUUCUUUACCUAUAACUUCUGGUAGAUUCUCAGUCCCUUAAACAAGCUAGGAUUUAAAAACCCUGAGACUUUAUUUGUGUUUCUACCCUUACCCCUCCGUAUGGACGGACGGUAUAUGUAGUUGGGCUUCGAAAACUCGUAACAUGUCUUGUUCAUUAACUGUCCGUCCACGCAACGGACUCCUCAAGCAGCCGCGGCUACAGCCGCGGACACCUUCCGCCGCUACCGGUUGUCACCGACCCGCCGCUCCCGUGUUGUCACCGAACCGCCGUGGCUGCAGACUGACAUCACACGUAGAUUUGCCGCUGUAGUUUCUUCUGUAGCUCUAAUUAACCCUACCUUGACCGGUGCAUAACGCGUGUUCUCCUAUCAGACGUGGACGUAACCGCUCUUCGCGCAGCAGCGCCCGCAGCAGGCGAUGCGUACCGCCGCUACCGCGUCCUGUCCGACCCGCCGACGCUGCAUGCAGGCCCACCCGUUUCCGACCAUCUAGCUCGACUAAGGGCAUUCAAAUCUGUAAAUAACACUCCGUCUGCACAAUUAAGGGUAAUUAACACCGAUUAAAAGACAUCAACUAACCUGCGCUUGCGUUUCCCACCUUGACAAAAAAAAGCCCCCUCCACGUUGACAAACUAGCUACCGUCUCAAAACAGGCGAGUACAUUUAGCGAUUUGCAUGUGUCCCCUCCAGACUGAAAAUACACCUGCCAAUCUACGGACUAAGACCCCUACCAUUAAACAGAACAAAC